RNAcentral lists this ribosomal RNA (468 nucleotides) under uncultured bacterium. RNAcentral describes it as "partial 16S ribosomal RNA". It matches the Rfam family "Bacterial small subunit ribosomal RNA", at positions 28 to 507 of the family's 1533-position model. The record is from RNAcentral.
GACGAACGCUGGCGGCGUGCUUAACACAUGCAAGUCGAACGGAAAGGCCCUGCUUUUGUGGGGUGCUCGAGUGGCGAACGGGUGAGUAACACGUGAGUAACCUGCCCUUGACUUUGGGAUAACUUCAGGAAACUGGGUCUAAUACCGGAUAGGAGCUCCUGCUGCAUGGUGGGGGUUGGAAAGUUUCGGCGGUUAGGGAUGGACUCGCGGCUUAUCAGCUUGUUGGUGGGGUAGUGGCUUACCAAGGCUUUGACGGGUAGCCGGCCUGAGAGGGUGACCGGCCACAUUGGGACUGAGAUACGGCCCAGACUCCUACGGGAGGCAGCAGUGGGGAAUAUUGCACAAUGGGCGGAAGCCUGAUGCAGCAACGCCGCGUGCGGGAUGACGGCCUUCGUGUUGUAAACCGCUUUCGCCUGUGACGAAGCGUGAGUGACGGUAAUGGGUAAAGAAGCACCGGCUAACUACGUG